AUGAAGUUGGAAUCGCUAGUAAUCGCGAAUCAGAAUGUCGCGGUGAAUACGUUCCCGGGUCUUGUACACACCGCCCGUCACACCACGAGAGUUUACAACACCCGAAGUCAGUGGCCUAACCGCAAGGAGGGAGCUGCCUAAGGUGGGGUAGGUGAUUGGGGUGAAGUCGUAACAAGGUAUC
This 181-nucleotide ribosomal RNA is filed under the name uncultured bacterium. Its description in RNAcentral is "partial 16S ribosomal RNA". It matches the Rfam family "Bacterial small subunit ribosomal RNA", at positions 1320 to 1500 of the family's 1533-position model. The record is from RNAcentral.